UCCCCGUUACCGGGGCAGUCUGGCUAGAAAAAUUCAACUAACCACAAGGGUUGCGCUCGUUUAUGGACUUAACCAAACAUCUCACGACACGAGCUGACGACGGCCAUGCAUCACCUGUCACUGCGGCCCGAAGGCACACUUUCCUUUCGGAAAGCUUGGCAGGAUGUCAAACCCUGGUAAGGUUCUUCGCUUACCCUCGAAUUAAACAACACGCUCCACCGCUUGUGCGGGUCCCCGUCAAUUCCUUUAUGUUUUAGCCUUGCGGCCGUACUCCACAGGCGGGAUGCUUAACGCGUUAGCUUCGCUACUGACCGGGUCGAUACGGCCAACAGCUAGCAUCCAUAGUUUACGGCGUGGACUAC
This 362-nucleotide unclassified non-coding RNA is filed under the name uncultured bacterium. Its description in RNAcentral is "contains 16S-23S intergenic spacer region". The record is from RNAcentral.